UAAAACUUUUGUUUCUGUGUUUCAGUUUUGAUCUCUCUGUCUUCUGGGAUGCCUAAUCAUAGUGCUAGCAUCCAGCUUUGUGUUCAGAAGUUAAGAAUAUUAAUAGAAGAUUCUGACCAGAACUUGAAAUACUUGGGAUUGUUAGCUAUGUCCAAAAUCCUGAAAACACAUCCCAAGUCAGUUCAGUCUCACAAGGAUCUCAUUCUCCAAUGUUUGGAUGACAAAGAUGAGUCCAUCCGACUCAGAGCUUUAGAUCUCCUCUAUGGCA
This is a non-coding RNA of Tinamus guttatus (white-throated tinamou), 268 nucleotides long. Lineage: Eukaryota; Metazoa; Chordata; Aves; Tinamiformes; Tinamidae. The record is from RefSeq and is a predicted model, not a curated record.